Molecule: ribosomal RNA, 1122 nt
Filed under: uncultured soil eukaryote
Lineage: Eukaryota
Description: SSU rRNA
Rfam family: Eukaryotic small subunit ribosomal RNA
Source: RNAcentral
AUCCAUGCAAUCGCAAGUAAAUCGAUGCAUUUAAUAGAGAAACGGAAGACAGCUCAUUACAACAGUUCGAAAAGAAGUGAAGAACUACUAGUGUUGGAGGGCAACCGAAAGCACUACAAUGGAUAUCGUCUCGAAUCGAGACGCUAAUACAUGUAUAACGACCUCAAGAGAACCCUUUGUGGUUUGAGAGAGAAUUUAUCCUCUAGAAGCCAAUUUCCUCGUCUUCUACUUCAACUUUUGAAUAUGUAUAAAUCCACGUAUCGAGUUGUGGUAUCUUUGACUAGAAAGAUAUUUACGGAUAACGAAGGAUUAGGGUUCGAUCUCGGAGAGGAGGCCUGAUAUACUGCCUCCACUUCCAAGGAAGGCAGCAGGAGCGAAAAUUACUCAAUGACACAUCGUCGAAGUAGUGACGAAAACUACCAGAGCUAUGCCCGUAUAGGGAUAGUAUUUGGGAUGAGUACAAUUUAAAACCAUUCACGAGCAACAAUAAGAGGGCAAGUCUGGUGCCAGCAGCCGCGGUAAUUCCAGCUCUUAGGGUGUAUCUGGACGUUGUUGCAGUUAAAAAGCUCAUAGCCAAUUUAACAUGUACGACGUUCUUGGAAAGUCAUUCCCGUCAAAAGGUUUGAUUAAAUCCGAAAGGUCAUACUUGAAAACUCUUUCUAGAAACCUUAGGAGUGUAAUAGCGACUUUGGGCUCUGUGCUUGACAUGGGGUAUUCCAUUUUUAGAAAGACGAUAACUUUGAAGAAAUUAGAGUGUUCAUUACAAGCCAGUUGGCUUUGAAUAUAUUAGCAUGGUAUUAUGAAAUACGACUGACUAGUAUUCUCAUAAAGACGAGCUACUGUCAAAGGUAGACCGGGACUAGAUUAGUAAUGAGAGAAAAAGACUGGAUGAGUGGCCUGUAUUUACAAGGGAAAGGUGAAAUUUUAUGAUCUUGUAAAGACAAACUAAUGCGAAAGCACUCCACUGGAAUGUUUUUUUUAGUCAAGAACGAAAGUUCAGGGCGCGAAGAUGCUUAGAUACCAUCGUAGUCUGAACUGUAAACAAUGUUGAUUUAGGAUCUCAGAUCAUUAUUUUAUGACUUCUGAGGCACUACAUGAGAAAUCUAGAAUAUUCGAACUCUG